GACGAACGCUGGCGGCGUGCUUAACACAUGCAAGUGGAGCGACGAACCAGGGCUUGCCCUGGGGCAAAGCCGCGAACGGGUGAGUAACACGUGGGUAACCUGCCCUGUUGACUGGGACAACCCGAGGAAACUCGGGCUAAUACCAGAUGUGCUCCCGCCACAUCAGUGGCGUGAGGAAAGGAAGCUUCGGCCUCCGCAACGGGAUGGGCCCGCGGCCCAUUAGCUCGUUGGUGGGGUAACGGCCCACCAAGGCUGCGAUGGGUAGCUGGUCUGAGAGGACGAUCAGCCACACUGGGACUGAGACACGGCCCAGACUCCUACGGGAGGCAGCAGUGGGGAAUCUUGCGCAAUGCGCGAAAGCGUGACGCAGCAACGCCGCGUGAGGGAAGAAGGCCUUCGGGUUGUAAACCUCUUUCAGUUGGGACGAAGCCUCGCCGGUUAAUAGCCGGCCGAGGUGACGGUACCUUCAGAAGAAGCCCCGGCUAACUACGUGCCAGCAGCCGCGGUAACAC
RNAcentral lists this ribosomal RNA (512 nucleotides) under uncultured bacterium. RNAcentral's name for it is "bacterial SSU rRNA". It matches the Rfam family "Bacterial small subunit ribosomal RNA", at positions 28 to 526 of the family's 1533-position model. The record is from RNAcentral.